AUGCCCUGCAUGGGGAAGAAUCAUGUCUCUUCAAAUCACAACGAUACUUUGGAGUUGUGGAAGGAACUGAAAGACCCCAAUGACACAAAAGUAACUUUGAAAGGAUUGCUAGCCAAGAUGAAAGGCGACAACACACCUAAUUUUGUUAGGACAUUUGUCUUGUACACCAUAGGCAAAUAUACGUGGUACUACGAGAAGUGGAGGGUGCACCAAUUGGACUCUACCAUCUCGUAUGCAUCAAGGUUAAGGCUGCUGAUCCAAAACUGGAGUGACGAGAAGGCACAGAAGGUUGACAACAUAAUCAACAAAAAUUAUAUAGGGGUUGGAGAGGAUAAGGCACUCGUGGGUCGUGUAUUGGCUGAUUUGAAAGAAGUUGCCUCCAUUGUGCGGGAGGCCAGUGCACAACAAUUUGAUAGGAUGUGCACCCUUGAAAAAAAAUGGACGAGUGCCUUAGGCGUACCCUUGCGAACGGCAAACGCACGGACGACCUCAUUACAAAAUUCAAUAAUAUUUGAUGUUGAUCGCCCAGGAGUCGAGGACAUACAUCUAUCUGACCUGGGAGUACUUGCGGACCCAAUGGAGGUCCCAGGAGAGAAUACUACUCACCAGCAAAAACAAAAAGAUGACACGGAGUUCAUUGCCGAAGGCAUUUCUGCUAAGGGAAUACAAAAAGAUUACAUGGAUGCCCCCAUGAAGAACGUAGUUGAAGUUUUGCAGCCUGCACCUAGUUUGCAAUCGCGAAAGCAUUCAAAAACCACCACAAGCCUUGAAGAUUUCAUGGAUCCUCUGAAUUUGAGGCACAAUGAGAAUGUGCGAAAGGCUGAAGAAAGAAGAAAUCAAGAUGAUGAAGAUGUCAGUAUUGAGGUGGGAGGAGAGGCAGGUACCAAAAGCAACCACCGGUCUGCCAAGGCUAAGGGAAUAAGGGAGCCGGAAGAGCCCCAUGUCUUCCGAGUUGAUAAGGACAACUAUGAUGAUUCUUUAGAAAAGCAGCAACAAGAUAGUGUGGUUGAUUCCAUGUUACCAACUCAUGCGAGCAGCCGGAAAAGAGUGGCAUCUUCAUUAUUGUGCAAUGUAGAUUAUGUUUUGUACGAUAGUGAUGAGAAGAGAAAGAAAAAUAGGACUCCAUCGGAGUCUACCAAUGAUUCCAAGGACACAACUCAUGCGAGCAGCCGGAAAAGAGUGGUUGAUUCCACACUAAUCUACAUUAGUGUGGUUGAUUCCAUGUUACCAACUCAUGCGAGCAGCCGGAAAAGAGUGGCAUCUUCAUUAUUGUGCAAUGUAGAUUAUGUUUUGUACGAUAGUGAUGAGAAGAGAAAGAAAAAUAGGACUCCAUCGGAGUCUACCAAUGAUUCCAAGGACACAAAGAAUACAAAGAGGAAAAACAGUGCAAGCAAUUUAAAAGAUACAGACAGAGGUGCUUCGAGGCUGGAGACCGACCUUGACAAGUUUCGACAGAUUUACGUGGCCGAAAUUGUCAACACCUCAGAUCUUGAUAAACAAUUGGUGGUAAUUGAUGACAUUGUUCUGCUACAGAAGCAUUUGCAAUACCUCACAAUGAAAGAUGGAGGCGAAUAUGAUAAAUGGUUGGGUGACGAAAUCAUGCGUCAUGAUGAUCCUAAGCACAUAAGGGACGAGCAACUGGUUUACAUUGAGAGGGUGGCCGGCGUCACUAUGCUCGAAAGAGAUGGUAAGGUUUUUCUACCUACGAACAUGGCGAACACCCACUUGUUCCUUAUGGUCGUAAACCCCAGAAGGAGGGAGAUUCAGAUUCUUGAUUCACUUUUCUGCUACCUAAUACGUGGGGUGGAAGCACAUCUGAGAGCAUUGCUGCGAAUCAAUGUACCACAAAGCCAUGCAUGGCAAGACAUUAACGUGACCCAAUGGACAGUAAAGCAUCUUCGUGUGCCAAGACAAGAUGACAAUUCUUCUUGUGCACUCUACAUGCUGAAGAACAUAGAAUUCUUUACGGGAGAAGAUCUUACGCUGCAUUAUGACCAAGCAUACAUCGCCAAUUAUAGAAGAGAGCUGCAUGUUGUCCUUCUUAAUUCGCCCUACAACAAAUGGAAGUCCAUGAAAAGGCUGAAGACAUACAAUGCUAGCCUAUCGGAUGCAGCUGCGAUUGAAGAUCAUGAAGAUGCAAAUCAUAGUUUGUCCUUCUGCACCGCCCAAACCAGCAAGACCGAAGGACGGAGCAACCCAGGAAUCCAGCAAGACCGAACGACGGAGCCAAACAUGAAUCCUCUGGAUGCUUCUUUGCUGCCAUAUGAGGAGUUCAUAAACGGAUUAAACACGCAGCAAAGGAUGUACAUCCAGUUGAUAGGACUGGGCGGACUUCUCAAGACACCUAGCAUCAAAAUUAGACGUGUAUUGUGCCUGGCCAUCGCUAAUUCAUAUGAUACAGAGCAGGAUGCCUUUAUCAUCAAUGGGAGACCAUGUAGGAUCACACUAGAAGAUGUAGCGCGUAUAACAGGCAUGCCCUGCCAUGGGAAGAAGCACGUCCCUUCAAAUCUUGAUGAUAAUAUGGAGUUGUGGAAGACACUAAAAGACCGUAAUGACACCAAAAUAACUUUCAAAGAAUUGCUAGCCAAGAUGAAAGGCGACAGCAAACAAAAUUUUGUCAGGCCAUUUGUCUUGUACACCAUAGGCAAAUAUGUAUGCCGAACAAAAGAGGAGUAUGUGGAUAACAAAUAUAUUGGGAUUGUUAGAAACGUUGAGACGAUAAAGGGCACAAAUCUUGGACAGCUAACGCUUGACUAUCUUAUAGAUAGCGUGAAAAUUUUUGUAAAUGGUGAGGCAAUUCUGGAGGGGAAUCUACCACUGCUGCAGACAUGGUACUACGAGAAGUUCAGAGUGCACCAAUUGGACUCUAGCAUCUCGUAUGAAUCAAGGUUAAGGCCGCUGAUCCAGAACUGGAGUGAGGAGAAGGCAAAAAAGGUUGACAAUAUAAUCCAGAAUAAUUAUCUAGGAGUUGGAGAGUAUGUUGAGGACCUGAUGAGGCCUUUCAUUCCAACACGAGAUGGUACGCUGGACAAACCGAAGACUAGUGCUCAGAUUAAGGUACUCGUCGGACGUGUAUUGACUGAUUUGAAAGAAGUUGCCUCCCUCGUGCGGGAGGCCGGUGCAGAACAAGUCGAUAGGAUGUGCACCCUUGAAAAGAAAAUGGAUGAGUGCCUUAGGCGUACCCGUACAAAUGGCAAGCUCAUGGAGGACCUCAUCAAUGAAUUGAAUAAAAAACGCGACGGAAUAUUUCCAGGAGUGGAGGACAUACAUCUUUUUGACCUCGGGGCACCUUCACACCCAAUGAAGGCCCCUGUUGAGAAUGAUGAGCAGGCUUCUGACCAGGGGAAACAAAAGGAUGUCACGGAGGUCACUGCUAAGCACCAUUGUAAGCAGGGAAUAAAACAUGAUGACAUGGAGCCCCCCAUGAAGAACCUUGAUGAAGAUUUUGAUGAUGAAGCAUUCGAAAGAGCUGCUGUAAAAAUCAAACAGGAUCUCAGUGGUGUCCAUAAGCUUUUGAAAGAGGUGGAUGAUAUCCAGGGUGCUCCUAGUUUGGAUAAGCAAAUGCAUUCCAAAGCCACCACAAGCUUUAAAGAUUUCCAGAAUCCGUUCAACAGGCGGAGUAAGAUGUACUCUGUAAUGGCUACGGGAUCGCGAGAGCCUGAAGAGCCCUGUGCCUUCACAGAUGAUGACAGCCAUGAUGAAUCCUUUAGAAAGCAGCAAGAAGUGGUUGAUGUUAUGAUCCAGCUCAUGCGUCAUGAUGAACCAAUUGACACAAGGGACGGCCAACUGGUAUACAUUGAGAGGGUGGCCGGCAUCACUAAGCUCGAAAGAGAUGGUAGGAUAGAGGAGUGCUAUGAGGACGCUUUGGCAGGCAUUCCUGGAACAACACAAGGCACCAGCUACCUAAAACAUGAUAUGGUUUUCCUACCUACGAACAGUUUAAACGUCCACUGGUUCUUUGUGGUCGUAAACCCCAGAAGGAAGGAGAUUCAGGUUCUUGAUUCACUUUUCCACUUAUUAGUCGUAGGCAACUUCUCAUCCCAUUGGGCUUGCAGUUCUUGUUGUGCACUGUACAUGCUGAAGUACAUCGAAUUAUUUACGGGAGUAAAACUGAGGAUGCAAUAUGACCAAGCCUACAUCGACAAAUUCAGAAGAGAGCUACCUGUUGUGCUUGUCGAUUCACCCUACAACAAAAUGAAAUACAGGAAUAGGUUCAAGCAGUACCAUGCUAGACUAUUGGAUGCAGCUGCAGUUGAAGACGACGAAGAUGCAAGCAUAACAGUGCCUGGGCAAGGUUUGGACCAAUUACAAUGCAUGGGCAACCCUAGAAGAAUAAUGGAUUAUGAUAUGUCUAUUUUCAUACGAGAGAGAAAGAUCUUGCAGUCGGGGCUGGCCGUCGAGGCUGGCGGCCGGCUUGAUCUAGUCCCGCAGAACAUGAUCCAUACCCGACCACCUUGCCUUCGGACGAGAUGCAUGGCCAGAUCAAAGUUGCAGCCAUGGCGGAGAGGUGAUGUAGACGACGCAAACAACCAAUUGGGGUGUGGGAAAGAGGUUGCCUAUAACUUUGUGGCUAUAGGCACCCGCAUGGAGGACUGGGAGGUGGGAUGGCGCCGAAUCUUCGCCGGCGGCCGCCGUGGGGAGGGCAGUGCGCCUCCUCUCAUGUUCUUCGUUGAAAAGGUUGUGCGAGACCGCGAGGAGCCGCGACGCGCGGCUAGAUCCUGCCGGCGAGGAUUAAAACCCUAG
This 4743-nucleotide ribosomal RNA is filed under the name Triticum aestivum (bread wheat). RNAcentral describes it as "partial small subunit ribosomal RNA". The record is from RNAcentral. Lineage: Eukaryota; Viridiplantae; Streptophyta; Magnoliopsida; Poales; Poaceae.